AGUCGAACGCUUUGUCUUUAAUUGAUCUGACGAGCUUGCUCUGAUUUGAUUUUAUCUGACAAAGAGUGGCGAACGGGUGAGUAACACGUGGGUAACCUACCUCUUAGCAGGGGAUAACAUUUGGAAACAAGUGCUAAUACCGUAUAAUACCAACAACCGCAUGGUUGUUGGUUGAAAGAUGGUUCUGCUAUCACUAAGAGAUGGACCCGCGGUGCAUUAGCUAGUUGGUAAGGUAACGGCUUACCAAGGCAAUGAUGCAUAGCCGAGUUGAGAGACUGAUCGGCCACAAUGGGACUGAGACACGGCCCAUACUCCUACGGGAGGCAGCAGUAGGGAAUCUUCCACAAUGGGCGCAAGCCUGAUGGAGCAACGCCGCGUGUGUGAUGAAGGGUUUCGGCUCGUAAAACACUGUUAUAAGAGAAGAACGGCACUGAGAGUAACUGUUCAGUGUGUGACGGUAUCUUACCAGAAAGGAACGGCUAAAUACGUGCCAGCAGCCGCGGUAAUACGUAUGUUCCAAGCGUUAUCCGGAUUUAUUGGGCGUAAAGCGAGCGCAGACGGUUAUUUAAGUCUGAAGUGAAAGCCCUCAGCUCAACUGAGGAAUGGCUUUGGAAACUGGAUGACUUGAGUGCAGUAGAGGAAAGUGGAACUCCAUGUGUAGCGGUGAAAUGCGUAGAUAUAUGGAAGAACACCAGUGGCGAAGGCGGCUUUCUGGACUGUAACUGACGUUGAGGCUCGAAAGUGUGGGUAGCAAACAGGAUUAGAUACCCUGGUAGUCCACACCGUAAACGAUGAG
This 796-nucleotide ribosomal RNA is filed under the name Weissella paramesenteroides. RNAcentral describes it as "bacterial SSU rRNA". It matches the Rfam family "Bacterial small subunit ribosomal RNA", at positions 60 to 813 of the family's 1533-position model. The record is from RNAcentral. Lineage: Bacteria; Bacillati; Bacillota; Bacilli; Lactobacillales; Lactobacillaceae.